This 2907-nucleotide ribosomal RNA is filed under the name Campylobacter coli. RNAcentral describes it as "bacterial LSU rRNA". It matches the Rfam family "Bacterial large subunit ribosomal RNA". Lineage: Bacteria; Pseudomonadati; Campylobacterota; Epsilonproteobacteria; Campylobacterales; Campylobacteraceae. The record is from RNAcentral.
GUAAGCUACUAAGAGCGAAUGGUGGAUGCCUUGACUGGUAAAGGCGAUGAAGGACGUACUAGACUGCGAUAAGCUACGGGGAGCUGUCAAGAAGCUUUGAUCCGUAGAUUUCCGAAUGGGGCAACCCAAUGUAUAGAGAUAUACAUUACCUAUAUAGGAGCGAACGAGGGGAAUUGAAACAUCUUAGUACCCUCAGGAAAAGAAAUCAAUAGAGAUUGCGUCAGUAGCGGCGAGCGAAAGCGCAAGAGGGCAAACCCAGUGCUUGCACUGGGGGUUGUAGGACUGCAAUGUGCAAGAGGUGAGUUUAGCAGAACAUUCUGGAAAGUAUAGCCAUAGAGGGUGAUAGUCCCGUAUGCGAAAAACAAACCUUAGCUAGCAGUAUCCUGAGUAGGGCGGGACACGAGAAAUCCUGUCUGAAGCUGGGUCGACCACGAUCCAACCCUAAAUACUAAUACCAGAUCGAUAGUGCACAAGUACCGUGAGGGAAAGGUGAAAAGAACUGAGGUGAUCAGAGUGAAAUAGAACCUGAAACCAUUUGCUUACAAUCAUUCAGAGCACUAUGUAGCAAUACAGUGUGAUGGACUGCCUUUUGCAUAAUGAGCCUGCGAGUUGUGGUGUCUGGCAAGGUUAAGCAAACGCGAAGCCGUAGCGAAAGCGAGUCUGAAUAGGGCGCUUAGUCAGAUGCUGCAGACCCGAAACGAAGUGAUCUAUCCAUGAGCAAGUUGAAGCUAGUGUAAGAACUAGUGGAGGACUGAACCCAUAGGCGUUGAAAAGCCCCGGGAUGACUUGUGGAUAGGGGUGAAAGGCCAAUCAAACUUCGUGAUAGCUGGUUCUCUCCGAAAUAUAUUUAGGUAUAGCGUUGUGUCGUAAUAUAAGGGGGUAGAGCACUGAAUGGGCUAGGGCAUACACCAAUGUACCAAACCCUAUCAAACUCCGAAUACCUUAUAUGUAAUCACAGCAGUCAGGCGGCGAGUGAUAAAAUCCGUCGUCAAGAGGGAAACAACCCAGACUACCAGCUAAGGUCCCUAAAUCUUACUUAAGUGGAAAACGAUGUGAAGUUACUUAAACAACCAGGAGGUUGGCUUAGAAGCAGCCAUCCUUUAAAGAAAGCGUAAUAGCUCACUGGUCUAGUGAUUUUGCGCGGAAAAUAUAACGGGGCUAAAGUAAGUACCGAAGCUGUAGACUUGACUUUGUCAAGUGGUAGGAGAGCGUUCUAUUUGCGCCGAAGGUAUACCGGUAAGGAGUGCUGGAGCGAAUAGAAGUGAGCAUGCAGGCAUGAGUAGCGAUAAUUAAUGUGAGAAUCAUUAACGCCGUAAACCCAAGGUUUCCUACGCGAUGCUCGUCAUCGUAGGGUUAGUCGGGUCCUAAGUCGAGUCCGAAAGGGGUAGACGAUGGCAAAUUGGUUAAUAUUCCAAUACCAACAUUAGUGUGCGAUGGAAGGACGCUUAGGGCUAAGGGGGCUAGCGGAUGGAAGUGCUAGUCUAAGGUCGUAGGUGCUUAUACAGGCAAAUCCGUAUAAGAAUACACCGAGAACUGAAAGGCUUUUUGAAGUCUUCGGAUGGAUAGAAGAACCCCUGAUGCCGUCGAGCCAAGAAAAGUUUCUAAGUUUAGCUAAUGUUGCCCGUACCGUAAACCGACACAGGUGGGUGGGAUGAGUAUUCUAAGGCGCGUGGAAGAACUCUCUUUAAGGAACUCUGCAAAAUAGCACCGUAUCUUCGGUAUAAGGUGUGGUUCGCUUCGUAUUAGGAUUUACUCCGAAAGCGAAGAAACUUACAACAAAGAGUCCCUCCCGACUGUUUACCAAAAACACAGCACUCUGCUAACUCGUAAGAGGAUGUAUAGGGUGUGACGCCUGCCCGGUGCUCGAAGGUUAAUUGAUGGGGUUAGCAUUAGCGAAGCUCUUGAUCGAAGCCCGAGUAAACGGCGGCCGUAACUAUAACGGUCCUAAGGUAGCGAAAUUCCUUGUCGGUUAAAUACCGACCUGCAUGAAUGGCGUAACGAGAUGGGAGCUGUCUCAAAGAGGGAUCCAGUGAAAUUGUAGUGGAGGUGAAAAUUCCUCCUACCCGCGGCAAGACGGAAAGACCCCGUGGACCUUUACUACAGCUUGACACUGCUAUUUGGAUAAGAAUGUGCAGGAUAGGUGGGAGGCUUUGAGUAUAUGACGCCAGUUGUAUAUGAGCCAUUGUUGAGAUACCACUCUUUCUUAUUUGGGUAGCUAACCAGCUUGAGUUAUCCUCAAGUGGGACAAUGUCUGGUGGGUAGUUUGACUGGGGCGGUCGCCUCCCAAAUAAUAACGGAGGCUUACAAAGGUUGGCUCAGAACGGUUGGAAAUCGUUCGUAGAGUAUAAAGGUAUAAGCCAGCUUAACUGCAAGACAUACAAGUCAAGCAGAGACGAAAGUCGGUCUUAGUGAUCCGGUGGUUCUGUGUGGAAGGGCCAUCGCUCAAAGGAUAAAAGGUACCCCGGGGAUAACAGGCUGAUCUCCCCCAAGAGCUCACAUCGACGGGGAGGUUUGGCACCUCGAUGUCGGCUCAUCGCAUCCUGGGGCUGGAGCAGGUCCCAAGGGUAUGGCUGUUCGCCAUUUAAAGCGGUACGCGAGCUGGGUUCAGAACGUCGUGAGACAGUUCGGUCCCUAUCUGCCGUGGGCGUAAGAAGAUUGAAGAGAUUUGACCCUAGUACGAGAGGACCGGGUUGAACAAACCACUGGUGUAGCUGUUGUUCUGCCAAGAGCAUCGCAGCGUAGCUAAGUUUGGAAAGGAUAAACGCUGAAAGCAUCUAAGCGUGAAGCCAACUCUAAGAUGAAUCUUCUCUAAGCUCUCUAGAAGACUACUAGUUUGAUAGGCUGGGUGUGUAAUGGAUGAAAGUCCUUUAGCUGACCAGUACUAAUAGAGCGUUUGGCUUAUCUUUA